This is a non-coding RNA of Sinocyclocheilus anshuiensis, 622 nucleotides long. NCBI's taxonomy places the organism in Eukaryota, Metazoa, Chordata, Actinopteri, Cypriniformes, Cyprinidae. The record is from the annotation of a RefSeq genome assembly.
AUGAUCCUGAACGCUUUGUCGGUCACUGGACUCCUGCUCUCCCUGACCGGUUUAACGGCGUAUAAUUUGAGUCAGGAGAAGUCCAAGUCGGUGAAACUGGGUGACAAGGUGUCGAUACUCUGCAUUGCAGAAGAUGAUAAGUAUUACAUUUCAUGGUACCAACAAAAAGCCGUGAUAUCUGAUCGUCCGUCGCCUCCUCCGUCUCUGCUCCUGCUGGCUCCUCCUGCUUCUCCGCUCUCUGAGGGUGAUGUCAGUGUGGUGUGUGUGGCUCAGGGCUUUUACCCUGACGGUGUCACCAUGUCCUGGUCUGAGGACAGCAGCGGCGUGACGGGGGACGAGGUGCAGACGGCUCCGUAUCAGCGUCAGGCCGAUGGCACCUUCUCCCAGACCAGCGUUCUGAAGCUCAGUAAGCAGCGCUGGAGCUCCGGGAGAACCUACACGUGCCGUCUGAGUCACCCGGCGCUUGCCACACCGCUGAGCCAGAGCACCAGCCUGAACCAGUGCAUGUAGAGAGAUUCUCUAACCAUCAACAAACAUGCAUUAAAGAAUUCCACGUGUUCUUUACUUGCUUGCUUUAGAAAGUAUACGAUAAUAAAGUGAUAUUGUUAAUUGUAAUUGUUAA